Molecule: ribosomal RNA, 200 nt
Filed under: uncultured organism
Description: partial small subunit ribosomal RNA
Rfam family: Bacterial small subunit ribosomal RNA
Source: RNAcentral
CGUCAAAUCAUCACGGCCCUUACGCCUUGGGCCACACACGUAAUACAAUGGCCGGUACAGAGGGCAGCUACACAGCGAUGUGAUGCAAAUCUCGGAAGCCGGUCUCAGUUCGGAUUGGAGUCUGCAACUCGACUCUAUGAAGCUGGAAUCGCUAGUAAUCGCGCAUCAGCCAUGGCGCGGUGAAUACGUUCCCGGGCCUU